RNAcentral lists this ribosomal RNA (3294 nucleotides) under Triticum aestivum (bread wheat). RNAcentral describes it as "partial small subunit ribosomal RNA". Lineage: Eukaryota; Viridiplantae; Streptophyta; Magnoliopsida; Poales; Poaceae. The record is from RNAcentral.
AUGGCGUCCCUUCAGGCUGCUCUCCACAGCGCCACCGCCGGGCCAUCCUCUUCUGGCACCUCCCAGGAGUGGUAUCUCGACUCCGGGGCAGCCGCGCACAUGUCUUCGUCCCCUGGUAACCUCCUCUCUGUCCACCCCUCUCGAUCCGCUUCUCACGUCGUUGUUGGUAGCGGUGAAUGCCUACCCAUUACACACAUGGGCACCGGCUCCCUGAUCGGCGGCACCUCGCCGAUCCAGCUCCGCAAUGUCAUCGUCUGUCCUUCCAUCAUUAAGAAUCUCCUUUCUGUUCGUCAACUCUGUCGAGAUAACCCAGUAACUGUUGAAUUUGACGCGCGCGGUUUCUCUGUCAAGGACCUUCGAACCAGGGUGGCGAUCCUCCGAUGUGAUUCCGGCGGUGAUCUGUACCCCGUGGGCCGCCCGUCACCACUCCCGUCGUCUCCGUUCGCCGGUGUCGCCGCCACCGACCUGUGGCACCAGAGACUUGGUCACGCCGGCGCGUCUUCGCUACGUCAGAUCCCACUGCACCCGUCACCUGAAUUCAGCAAGUCACACCCGCAUGUGUGCUCCGCCUGUCGUUUAGGCAAACACACACGUCUACCAUUUCAGUCAUCUUCUAGUUUCAGUUUGUUUCCCUUUCAAACUUUGCACCUUGAUGUAUGGACGUCGCCAGUUGUAAGCAUUUCCGGAUAUCAGUUUUACUUAGUUGUGCUCGAUGACUAUACACACUAUGCAUGGACUUUUCCUCUGAAACACAAAUCUGAAAUUUCCUCCAUCCUGACAGAGUUCUUCGCGUACGUUCAAACCCAGUUUCAGCUCCCCAUCCUUGCGCUCCAAACAGACAAUGGGCGCGAGUUCGAUAACCACACCGUCCGUGCUCUACUUGCUCGUCACGGCACCCACUUCCGCCUCUCGUGCCCCUACACUAGCCAGCAAAAUGGCAAGGCUGAGCGUACCCUCCGAACUCUCAACGACGGCGUCCGCGCACUCCUCUUUCACGCUUCCAUGCCGCCGCGCUUCUGGGCCGAAGCUCUCAGCACAUCCACAUACCUGCUCAACCGCCGGCCAUGUCACUCCACUGCGCCGCGGUCACCACACGAGAUGCUUUUAGGCGUGCCACCCGACUACUCCCUCCUUCGUGUCUUUGGUUGCCUUUGCUUCCCCAACCUCACCUCGCAAUCGCACCACAAACUUGAUCGCCGAUCCACCGCGUGCAUCUUCCUUGGGUACCCCCCAGACCACCGCGGCUACCGGUGUUUCGAUCCCGUCUCUCGCCGCGUUUUCACUUCCCGGCAUGUGGUUUUCCACGAGGACGUGUUCCCUUUCGCCUCGCCGCCGGACGCCGCGUCAACACCUUCUCCUGCGGCUCGUAUUUCACCCACUGUUGUGCAGGUGCCCACUCCCCCCUACGUUCGUGCGCUGCCCGUUGCUUCGGACACGGCUGACAUGCCCGUGCAGCAUUCAGGCUCGCCUGCCGGGGGCUCGGCGAUCCACUCCAGUGGCUCCCCGCCCAGCGCGCCGUCCUCAGCUUCCCAUACGGGCCCUGGGUCGGCCAACGACGACUCCACCACGGGAACCUCUUCGUCAGGCACAUCUUCUUCGAGCACGGACGCCUCCUGUCCGCCGGCCGUCGCGCCCCCACCGCCACCACCGACGCGCGCGGUCACCCGCGCCCAGCGUGGGAUAUUUCGGCCUAACCCGAAGUACUACGACGCCGCUGCUGCCACCACCACGGAGAUCUCGCCGGUGCCCAGCUCGGUUCGUGUGGCGGUGCGUGACCCCAACUGGCUCGCCGCCAUGCGGGCUGAGCACGAUGCACUUGUUCGCAACCGAACAUGGACGCUGGUGCCUCGGCCUCCUGGUGCCAACCUCAUCACCGGCAAGUGGCUCUUCAAGCACAAGAUGAACGCCGACGGCACGCUGGAGCGGUACAAGGCCAGGUGGGUCGUGCGCGGCUUUCGCCAGCGCGCCGGCAUCGACUACGGCGAGACGUUCUCUCCGGUCGUCAAGCCAGCAACGAUUCGCACGGUGCUCACCCUCGCUGCAUCUCGCGGUUGGCCGGUGCACCAACUUGACGUCUCCAACGCCUUCCUCCAUGGCACACUCGCCGAGGAGGUCUACUGCCUUCAACCUGCCGGCUUCGUCAACCCCGAGCGCCCUCACCAUGUCUGCAGACUCUCCAAGUCGCUGUACGGGCUGAAACAGGCCCCGCGUGCCUGGUUCCUCCGCUUUGCCGGCUUCCUCGCCACUGUGGGCUUCGUGGCCACCCGCUCCGACUCGUCGCUGUUCGUCUACCAUCGCGGCGUGGACACGGCGUUCCUCCUCCUCUACGUGGAUGACAUCGUGCUCACCGCCUCGUCUGCGGCUGUUCUCGCGCGCAUCGUCGCCCAGCUCACUGGUGAAUUUGCGAUGAAGGACCUCGGCGAUCUCCACUUCUUCCUCGGCAUUCGCGUGACACGCACGGCAGCCGGCUUUUUCCUGUGCAAAAAACAGUACGCGGAAGAGCUUGUCGAUCGCGCCGGCAUGGAAGCCUGCCGCCCUUCCCCAACGCCCAUUGACACCAAGGCCAAGCUGCCCGCGGCUGAUGGCCCUCGUGUGGACGACCCGUCCGCCUACCGAAGCAUUGCUGGAGGCCUGCAGUACCUCACCAUCACCCGCCCCGAGCUCGCCUACGCCGUCCAACAGGCCUGCCUACACAUGCAUGACCCACGCGAGUGCCAUCUCGCGUUGGUCAAGCGGGUGCUGCGGUACGUGCGCGGCACGACAUCCCUCGGUCUCCAUCUCCGCGCCUCGGCCACACUCGAUGUACGUGCCUUCACCGAUGCUGACUGGGCGGGCUGCCCCGACACACGCCGUUCCACGUCCGGCUUCGUCGUCUACCUCGGCGACGCGCUCGUCUCCUGGUCCUCCAAGCGCCAGGCGACGGUGUCCCGCUCCAGUGCGGAGGCCGAAUACCGCGGCGUCGCCAACGCCGUCGCCGAGUGCGUCUGGCUCCGUCAACUACUCGGCGAGCUCCUGGCUCCAGUGCAUAAGGCCACGCUGGUGUUCUGCGACAACGUGUCCGCGGUCUACCUCUCCGCCAACCCAGUGCACCACCGCCGGACGAAGCACGUGGAGCUUGACAUCCACUUCGUUCGCGAACGCGUGGCAUUGGGCCAAUUCCGCGUCCUUCACAUCCCCACUCGGCAGCAGCUCGCCGACAUCAUGACCAAAGGCUUGCGCUCGGACGUUUUCUCUGAGUUCAGGUCCAGCCUUUGCGUCGCCGGUGACGACGUCACGACUGCGGGGGGGUGUUAG